This 344-nucleotide ribosomal RNA is filed under the name Cryptococcus sp. Ice99-1ToM-Y11. RNAcentral describes it as "eukaryotic LSU rRNA". It matches the Rfam family "Eukaryotic large subunit ribosomal RNA", at positions 331 to 670 of the family's 3401-position model. The record is from RNAcentral. Lineage: Eukaryota; Fungi; Basidiomycota; Tremellomycetes; Tremellales; Cryptococcaceae.
AGACCGAUAGCGAACAAGUACCGUGAGGGAAAGAUGAAAAGCACUUUGGAAAGAGAGUUAAACAGCACGUGAAAUUGUUAAAAGGGAAACGAUUGAAGUCAGUCGUGUGAAAGGUAUUCAGCCGUCUCUGGCGGUGUAUUUGCCUUUCACGGGUCAACAUCAGUUUGAUCCGGUAGAAAAAGGCAGGAGGAAGGUGGCACCCUCGGGUGUGUUAUAGCCUCUUGUCAUAUGUGCCGGACCAGACUGAGGAACGCAGCUUGCCGCAAGGCCGGGGUUCGCCCACGUACAAGCUUAGGAUGUUGACAUAAUGGCUUUAAACGACCCGUCUUGAAACACGGACCAAG